This is a non-coding RNA of Cucumis melo (muskmelon), 97 nucleotides long. The record is from Rfam. Lineage: Eukaryota; Viridiplantae; Streptophyta; Magnoliopsida; Cucurbitales; Cucurbitaceae.
UGGCAAUGAUGAAUCAAAGGCCGGACUUACGGCUGCUUCCGUUCGGACGGUAGUAGAUUGACGAUAUGUCUGCAGUAAGGUGUUUUUCUUGAGCCAG